RNAcentral lists this ribosomal RNA (497 nucleotides) under uncultured bacterium. RNAcentral describes it as "partial 16S ribosomal RNA". It matches the Rfam family "Bacterial small subunit ribosomal RNA", at positions 28 to 507 of the family's 1533-position model. The record is from RNAcentral.
GACGAACGCUGGCGGCGUGCCUAAUACAUGCAAGUCGAACGCUGAAGAGAGGAGCUUACUCUUCUUGGAUGAGUUGCGAACGGGUGAGUAACGCGUAGGUAACCUGCCUUGUAGCGGGGGAUAACUAUUGGAAACGAUAGCUAAUACCGCAUAACAAUGGAUGACACAUGUCAUUUAUUUGAAAGGGGCAAUUGCUCCACUACAAGAUGGACCUGCGUUGUAUUAGCUAGUAGGUGAGGUAAUGGCUCACCUAGGCGACGAUACAUAGCCGACCUGAGAGGGUGAUCGGCCACACUGGGACUGAGACACGGCCCAGACUCCUACGGGAGGCAGCAGUAGGGAAUCUUCGGCAAUGGGGGCAACCCUGACCGAGAAACGCCGCGUGAGUGAAGAAGGGUGUCGGAUCGUAAAGCUCUGUUGUAAGUCAAGAACGGGUGUGAGAGUGGAAAGUUCACACUGUGACGGUAGCUUACCAGAAAGGGACGGCUAACUACGUG